CUCACGGGGCUCUGGCUAGCUCGUUCCUCUAACUCCUCCUUUCUUUUGUGUGCGGUUAAAAAAAGAAGGAAGAAAAUACGCACAGCCUACAGACACAACAUCAACAAGACGAGAAGCCCCGCGGAGUUCGCAGGAGGUGAGGCGGCGGCUGCGCCACCCGUUCGGCUUCCCCAAACUCCAAGCCCGGCGCAGGGAAGCGGCAGCUCGGUAGCGGCCCCGGGCGCCCCGGCCCAGGGCACGCCGCUCGGCCGGGCAGCCAGCGCGGGGAGGCUGGCACUCGCGGCGCGGUCAGGGCGCCGCCUUCACCCCUGGGCGGGCCGCCAGGCGGCCCGGCUGCGCCCAGCCAUCGCUUGCGCGGCGGCCAGCUGGCGGGUGGCGCGGGGGCCCGCGGCCAGGUGUCCGCUCCGGGGGACGCGCCAGAGGCGCCCGUGCGCCCGGGGUCGACGGGGAGCCUGCGCUGCCGGGGCGGCAGUGAGCGCGCCCCCUCCACGCCGCGCCCUUUGUCCCGUGCCGCUGACACCCGGGCGCACGGCUCCAGGGCCCGCAUCCGCCGUGACCCCGGCCCCGGCCGCAGCCCAGGUCCCGGAGCCAACUCCUUCAGCCGCGCCGCCGCCGGGCCCGGCUCGGACUGCCGGGGCUCGGGGCGCGGCGGGCAGUGGGGACCGCCCGCGUCCGCUCGGCGCCCAACUCCGCUUGCCCAGCCACGGUGCCCUCAGCCCUGCAGGGGCCGCCCCGCGUGUUACCUGCAAGGAGCCCGAGCGGCGGCCGCAUCUCCCCGGCGGACGCGGGCAGUCCGGCGGCUACGGGAGCCUGCCCCGAGCUGGGCAGGGGGAGGGGCCGCGCGCGCCGCGCCCCCGCCCCCCGCCGCGUUCCCCGCCCCGCGGCGCCCGCGCCGCGCGCUCGCCCGCAAGGCCCGCAGCUCCCCACGCGCGCGGGCGCCCCCCUCACAUCUCCGCCGCCUCGGCCCGCCCUCUCCUCGCGGCCAUUGGCUAUACCUGCCGUCACUUUCGCGGGCGCCGCGGGUCCCUCUCCAGCUCAUUGGCGGACGCGCCGGUGACGUCAGGCCAGGGGCGCGAGCCGCGGCGCAGAGAGCCGCCAGCGACUGAGAGGCGGACUCAGCGCCAGAGGAGGAAGCGGAGUCCUGGGCGUGGAGCCCCGGGUGGGGCUCCGGCGGCUGGAGGCGGCGGCCCCGGGCGGCGGGCUGCGGGGGCCGCCGCUGGCCUGUAG
Molecule: long non-coding RNA, 1227 nt
Filed under: Bos grunniens (domestic yak)
Lineage: Eukaryota; Metazoa; Chordata; Mammalia; Artiodactyla; Bovidae
Description: lncRNA (ENSBGRG00000024075.1)
Source: RNAcentral